RNAcentral lists this long non-coding RNA (26459 nucleotides) under Capsicum annuum. RNAcentral's name for it is "long non-coding RNA (CANN_LNC020169)". Lineage: Eukaryota; Viridiplantae; Streptophyta; Magnoliopsida; Solanales; Solanaceae. The record is from RNAcentral.
CUACAAAGAAGCAAGCUCAACAGUUGUGGUCUAUCAGUGUUGUAGCUUCAAAUGAUGCAAAACUAACACCAAGCAGCAACGUGACCAAAUCCUGGGUUGAUGAAGCGGAGGAGGAGACUAAAUCACCUCAGAAAAAGAAAUCCAUCUGGGAUGUCUUCGAUAUUGCCAAAUUGACUAACGUAUGGUUCAAACUGCAGUAUGUUCCACAAAAGGAGAAAGGUGAGUUUGCUAUUGAAAUUGAAAACAUAUACAAUCUGAAAUAUAUUAUGGGAGUACUGUUGUUACGUGUUAUGUUUUAGGGGUCACCCCUUUUUACAGUAUUAGAAAGAUAUAUGAAGAGGUUAUGUGAAAUUAUAAUGUUGAAGAAUAGGGUAUUAUUAGUGAGACUUGUUGCGAUGAACGAAAGAAAAAGCUAUAUAAGGUGGGGUCUGUCAUUUCCAUAACAACUCGUUCAUCAUUAAGGAUUAGUCUGCUGAUUUAGAGUACACUCAUGAAGAACUACUGUCAGUGCCAAUUUGGAUCAAAUUUCCAAGACUUUACUUUAAAUAUUGGAGUCCUACGAAUUUAAGUGAACUUGGAAGUCUAGCAGGGAAACCAGUUAUGGUAUAUCAAAAUUGUCACGACUUGGCCGGGGCCCUGGCCGCGACGGGCAUCCCGAACCAUGAAGGCCUGAGAGCCAUCUUAACUUGUGAUCAUAUGCAAUGUUCAUCUAUUAUCAAAAAGUGAAAGUAAAUUGGAACAUGGUCAUCUUAUCGUUUCAGCUAAACAAUAUGGGUAUAAAUUCAUAAAGACCCAAAACCAUCUAACAUAAGUCUGUGAAAUCUCUAAUAAACUAAAAACAACAUUCUGUUUGAAACCGGGACAAGGUCCCCGUUCGGACCAUGAACUAAAACCAAAUGAGAUCAACAGAAGUGAACAAGAAGCUUCUGAAGUAAGGGAGGGUCACCAACUCUGAAUGCCUGACAGCAAUCUAUUGUUUAGCAGGACCUCUAGACUGGGCCUCAGAACCUGAAAUAUAGGGGGUCAAUACAAAAUAUACUCCAUACAAUCUACAAAUAUUGCUACCACACUAGUCUAUCACUAUAAAAUGGCAACCCACCCCUCAAUCAAUGGUUAUACAACUAAACUAGCUUCUUUACGCAAAAGUCACCCUCAUUUUGACUUCUAAGCUUGUGACCUCAUAUCACUAGCUUCUGGACCAUUUUACAGCUCAUAGGUUAUGACACUUUAUCACAUACUACUACUCAGGUUGAAAUAUUGUUCCAACAUUCUACUAUAUCUCAUUACCCUUAAGCAUGACAUCUGCAACAAGGAUUUUAGAAAAGGGACUGAAUACACUUCAUACCUCAGGUUGAAAAGCAUGAUUUCAUUAGGAUAAAGCAUACACUCGAAUCAAUACACCUUGAAGCACUAACAAACUCCUCUCAAGUCCUUAUACUAUUCCAUAAUCCUUUAUGACUUAAUUAGAAAUGACUACAUCAUUUAGACUCUAAGCUUCUGCACUUGAAUCAACUCGACCACGAGACAUAUCUAAUAAAAUCAGAGUAAAGUAGGAGUAACCUCUAAAUGGACAUAACAAUGGCAUGAUCUAGAACAUGAAGAAAAGUGAAACAUACCUGAAUGCCUAGUAGCUUCUUACUUAUAAGUGUGGUGCGCAACACACCCAUAAACAGUACUCUACCCAACGUGACUUUGCAAACACCCUAGGACUAUGAACCGUAUUUUGAUACCAAGUUUGUCAUGACCUGAGCUGGGGCCCUGGCUGCGAUGAGCAUCCCGAACCAUGAAGGCCUGAGAGUCAUCUUAACUUGUGAUCAUAUGCAACGUUCAUCUAUUAUCAAAAUGCGAAAGUAAAUUGGAACAUGGUCAUCUUAUGAUUUAAGCUAAAAAAUAUGGAUAUAAAUUCGUAAAGACCUAAAACCAUCUAACAUAAGUCUGCGAAAUCUCUAAUAAAUUGAAAAAAAUAUUCUUUCUAAAAUCGGGAUAAGGUCUCCGAUCGAACCAUGAACUAAAACCAAAUGAGAUCAACAUAAGUGAACAAGACGUCUUUCGAAGUAAGAGAUACUCACUAACUCUGAAUGUCUGACAACAAUCUACUGUUUAGCAGGACCGCUAGGCUGAGACUUAGAACUUGAAAUAUAGGGGGUCAAUACAAAAUGUACUUGUACGCAGAGCAAUCUAAAAUAGUAUACUUAGGGAUGAUAAUGAGGUGGUGUGGGUGCGGUGUGGGUUUUAGGAUAUGCGGGGCAGGUUUUAGGCUAUGUGGGUGCGGCGCGGGUUAGAGUAAGUUUUUUUAAAAUGGUGUGGGGCGGGGCAGGUUGCGGGUAUAUGCGGGUUUAGAUUAAAGAAAAAAGCUAAAAUUGAGUAUUAUUCUCAUGGAUCUGCCUAAAAUUAUAUUUUUCUUUACUUAAAAUUUUGUCAUACUUAAAACAAAAUAUAUAACAUUAUAUAUAAAUAAUUUCAUAACCUUUUCUUUUCAAAUCAGUAAAAUAAUUUUAUAACUUAAAAUAUCAAACAAAAGUUUAAAGGUUUUUCUUUACUAAAUCACUUUGCCAUGCAUCACUUAUUUAAUUUAUCUAAGCAAGGACUUGAAAAUAUUCUGGUUUCCAAUGGAGUUACAAAAUUUUCAAAAAAUAAAAAAUAAAAAUGCUGGGCGGUGCGGUGCAGGUAUGCGCAGUUUUGAAUGUGGGGCGGGUUUAAAGGUGAUGCAGUGUGGGUUUUAAAUUCGCGGGUUUAGGAAAAACCCACACCACACCCGCACCGCCCCAUUUAUGUAACAUACAUGAGAGAAAUUCAUAAAACAGUUUACGUACCUUAUAUGAAAACACAUGGGCAUACUUUAACGACUUUGAAACAUUUCUUUGAAAUUGUGAACCACUUUUUAUUUUACUUCUGAGCUAGAUGGUACACCCUACAAGAGUAGUACCCACGAGCUAUAUGGGUCCAUCAUUAACUCGUCGGCCAAGCCCCCACAUCCAAGUUUGCCGCAAGGAUAGGGGUCCUACAUACUAGUUUAGUAUACUAGUAUCUCAAGGACAAGUAUACAUUGGCCUCAUAUAAUCAUAUCAGUCAAAUCGGUAAAACUCGAUUUUCAGCAAUGAGCUCUUAUAUUCAAAUGCCUUCUUCGAGUAACCAUCUAACUCUCUUUAAACCCAUUUUAAAAAAUUUAAAUCAUGCAUCUUUAUGAAAAAUGGUCUAAUGUCUAAAAAGCUUCUGUAGUCUAGUCUAAUUUGAGUCUGUUUUGACAUUCAUCUUGGUAUCGUCAUACCAAGACUUGCAAGUCAGAUAAACCAUAAAAUAUCAUGUUACAGUCUUUUCAUUCAAAACAUAAUGUUUGGACCACCAAAUCAUUCAAACAAUAUAAGAGAAUUUGUAUUUCGAAAUAUAUGAAAACUUAUGCAAAAAUUCUCUCUUUUAAUUCUUAAACACAUGCUGGCCAUUUACUUUGUAGCAAACCAUGCAAUUCUUUCAAUAAUUAUCUUAACAUUUACAAGAAAGAAAAAACCCUCUCUUUAAUUUACAAUCAAUAUCAAGUCCAUAUAAACAGUAAAACAUCUAUCUCAUGCUUCAAAACAUGCAAUUAAACAACUCAUAAUUUGUGAAAUCAAGAGGUAUCAAAACAAGAGAGGGGUAUCGUCAUUCAUGCUCUUGAUUGAACUUUUCAAAACUGAAAACGCAUAUGUAUAGGUGGUUAUAAUUCAAUUCUAUAAAAAUAGGUUCAAGACAAAUAUUUACUUUCAUCAAAACAAGUUCAUAAUACAUGCUAUUCAAAACCAUGUCAAAACCCUCUUUGUAAACACGAUUAUAUAUCUUUAAACUUGAUAAAAACCAUAAAACUUAUGCCCAAGGAGUUUAGGAUAGCCCCACGCACCUUAAUUGAUGAAGAAAUCAUGAUGAAAUUGACCCCUUUAAGCUUGAAUGUCCAAACCCUAGGUUAUUUUUCUCCUCUUGUGUUUUAGGAAGAUGAACUAAGAAUUUGAUAGUGUUAAAACAUAUUUAGGGACUUUAAUCUCGUGUUAAGAUGUUUAGGGAUGGUUAUGGAACGUAAAAAGACUUGGUUGCCCUUGAAAUAACUAAAAAACGGAGCCCCUAAGCCGCAAAACAUCAAGUAGGCGGCACCCAACCAAUGGCCUAACCCAGGUUGGGUGGCGCCUAACCCAUUGCAUAACACAGGUUGGGCGGCGCCUAGCCCAUGGCCUAACCUAAGGUAGGCCUCGCCUAAGCCAUUGCCUAACCUUUCCAGUGAAGAUAGGCGAUGGAAAUGCAAUGCUUAGCCAUCGCCUAGGCCCUACUUUUUAACGCCUACUUACUUUGAGGUCUAAGAACACCCCCAACACCUCCCACAACGUCAACACAAGAUCUACCAUCACUAUGGGGUCCCUAAAGAUCAUUUUAGACAUACUGAAAGAGUGUUACAACCACGAGGUAUUACAUGAUUCCUAGGAAUAUCUUUUAUUUCGAAAACACUUCCCACACUAGGAUAAAUAUCAUGACACAUGAAUUCAAAAGUAAAUCAUGGGAUUAUGGUUUACACACGUAAGAACGAUGGUUCGAUUUCUAGCUCGAAAUAUGAGGGGUGUUACAAAAAUACUAAUGGUUUGACUUUUGCAAAAAUUUUGGUGGAACUGGGGAUGAAGGUAGUCUUGCCAAAUGAUAUUGUUCUUAAAAAUGAAAAAAGGGUAGCUUAUACAAAUGAAGGGAUUCUAGAGAACCAGAAGGAAGUAGUUGCACAAGGAAAAGUGAAGGCCAACACAACUACUAAACAAAGAAAAGAGGGGUAAAAGAUUAUUCACCAGAAGCAAUAUACUCAAACUAGUCAAAUGGUACAUGAGAAAGCAAACAAACAACUAAGUGGUCAAAAUUGUCACAUAGGACAAAAAGAAGAAUUUAGGUGGAUUACACCAAUGAGGACAGGGCAUACUCAAGUAUUCCAGAUGGCUAAACUACAUACUGGUAACAACUUUCAAGCAUUGUAAACUAAAGAUGGUCAACUGCUAACUAGUUAUGUUGAUAAUAUGGGUGGUCAAUCCAUGUCCCUUGUUGGGAAUGGAUGACACACUUAGUUGGAAUGUUAGAGGGAUUAAUGAACCAAAUAAUAAAAAAUACAUUAAACUCUUUUGCAAUGAAAAAAAGGGUAGUUUGACUGACUUACUGAAAAACUAAUGUAAAAAAUAAAAUUGGGAAAUCACAGAGAAGAUGUUAAAGGGUGAGUUUAAUUUACAAAUUUGGAGUAUUAUUACAAUGGUAGGAUUUGGGUAAAUUAGAGACUUGAUUUCUAUAAAGUUAUACUUCUUAACAUGAUAACUCAAAUGCUCACAUAUGAGGUACACUACGUUUCUUUAUAUCUGACUUUUGAUAUGUCAUUUGUGUAUGCUUUUAAUACUAAGAAGGAGAGGAAAGAAUUAUGGGAUAAGCUAAGGGAGUAAAGUAAUAGUUGUACAAAGCCUUAGAGAUUUAGGGGAAUUUUAAUUCAGUUUUAUAAGUUGGUGGAAGAGUAGAUGGUAACCCAGUGUCUUGGGAAAAAGUAGUAGACUUUCAACCAUCUGUCACAAACAGGGGAAUUUUAAUUCAGUUUUAUCAAUCCUUCUUUCCCUUGUUUUGACAUGGUAUUAGAGCCCAUUUCUUACGGGAUCUGAAUCUAUUUUUUUGUUGAUUGGCUCAUCUUAUUUUAACUUCUUUUUCUUAGAUCUCUUUUCUGAAAACAUAGCACCAAAAAAUCAACCAACAACGGGUCCUCCGAUUUUCUCGGGGAAGAAUUACCAUAUUUGGGCCAUUAAAAUGAAGGCUUAUUUGAAUGUUCUAAACUUGUGGGAUGUUGUUGAAAGAGGAGAACCUGCUAUCCAUCAAUUGAGCGACAACCCAACUCUCAAUGAUAUAAAAAGGAUGAUGAGUUGGUGACUAGAUCUCCAAGAGCUCUCACUUGCAUAUAUUUAAGACUUACAGAAGUGAAGUUUACAAGGAUUAUAGCUUUUGAGACAGCCAAAGAAGCCUGGAAUAAGCUAAAAGAGGAGUUAGAAGGCAACAACAGAGUUGAGUUUGUUAAGGUUUUAGCUUUGAAGAGGGAGUUUGAGCUCUUGAAGAUAAAGGAUUUGGAUAGUGUGAAAGAAUACUCUUCCAAACUGAUGGAUAUUGUGAACAAAAUAAGGAUACUUGGCGAAAAAAUUCCAGAUCAGAAGGUUGUUGAGAAGAUCAUGAUCAUCCUUCCAGACAAGUUUGAAUAAAAAAUCUCAGCUAUUGAAGAGUCUUGUGACUUGAUUACUCUUUCAAUAGCUAAGAUGAUCUCUAAAUUGCAAAUCCAAGAGCAACGGGUAACUAUGAGAAGUAAAACGACAGUCGAAGAUGCCUUGCAAGUAAGGCAUAAAUUCAAGCAACAAAGGAAGGAAAAAAAGUCUCUUCAGACCACUCUGGAGAGGUGAAAUCUGGUGGAUACCAAGGUGAAUCAUCGAGGAGAGAAAAAUUUCCACCUUGUGGUAUUUGUAAGAAGACAAACCACUUGGAGAAGAAUUGUUGGCAGAAGUCCAAGAGGUCUCCUAUUCAAUGCAGAUACUGCAAGAAGUAUGGACACAUUAAGAAGUAUUGCAGCAAAAGAAAACUCAAAUUGGCCAGUCUUCCCAAUGAGUAAAUUUUACGAAAGAUCACCAAGUUGAAAAAAUAGAGGAGGAGGUAUUCAUGGCUUCGCGCACAUCACAUGUUGAUUGAUAUAAUUGGUAUAUCAAUGGUGCAUGCACAAGGCACAUGGCGAUUGAUGAAAAUCUGUUUGUUAGCCUGGACAGGUCUGAUAGGACCAAAGUGAAGCUUGGAGAUGGUGCACUGGUUCAAGCUCAAGGAAGAGGAUCAGUGCAAUUCCCUACAGAUGAAGGUAUGAAAAUCAUAAACAAUGUUCUUUAUGUGCCAAACCUAACUGAAAACUUGUUGAGUGUUGCACAGUUGCUUCACAAUAAUUAUUCACUUACUUUUAAGGAUAAAAAAUGUGUCAUUUAUGAUCCUAAAAGUUGUGAAGUAGCUAAAUUAGCAUGAUUGGUAAUUCAUUUCCAAUUUUAUGCUAUUCUGCUAAAAGUUGCUCUUUCAAUAUUGAAAUAAGUGAUACUUGGCUUUGGCAUAAAAAAUUAGGUCAUUAUAACCUUAGUUCAUUGGUGUAUAUGCAAUCCAAGGGUAUUGUGCUUGAUGUACCCAAAAUUGAUAUAUGCCGGGAUGUUUGUGAGUCAUGUCAAUUUGGUAAAUUGCAUAGACGAUCCUUUCCUAAAGGAAGUCUUUGGAGGGCGAAGAAAAAGUUAGAGUUGGUUCAUAUAAAUAUAUGUGGACCAAUGUGGAUGGCUCAUUAAAGUAGGAAUAAAUAUUUUAUUCUCUUUAUAAAUGAUCUAACUCGAAUGACAUUGGUCUAUUUUCUAAGUAGAAAAGUUCAGGUGUUCUCUGUUUUCAAAGAAUCAAGGCUAUGGUAGAAAGAGAGAGUGGCUGCCGGUUGAAGUAUAUCAGGUCAGAUAAUGGAACUGAAUAUACUUCGCAUUAGUUCAACAAGUAUUGUAAAGAUGUGGUAUUCAAUAACAAUUCACUGUUAGCUACACUUCAGAAUAGAACAGGGUUUCUGAGAGGAAGAACAAAGUAAUGAUGGAGAUGGCGAGAUGCAUGUUGGCAAAAAAGAAGAUGCCUAAAUAUUUUUGGGCUGAGGCAGUCAAUACUGCCGUCUAUUUGCUGAACAGAUUACCAACUAGAGCACUCUAAGACAUAACUCUAUUUGAAGCAUGGAAAGGUAUAAAGUCAUCUACGAGACACUUAAAAGUCUUUGGUUCAGUCUUCUAUGCGCAUGUUCUAGAUGCUAAAAGAGGCAAAUUGGAUAACAAGGAAGACUCUAUAUUUUGUUGGGCUAUAACACAACUGCAAAAGGGUAUAAAGUGUAUAAUGUUCAUACAAAGAAGGUGCUUAUCAGUAGAGAUCUUGCAGUGGAUGAGUCUAACCUCCAUGGAUGGGAUCGAGAUAUUAUUGUAAAAAACCAAGAUGGGAGUACUUCAGCUGCAGUUCAAAAUCCAUAGACAAGUGAUAUUUCUUCUAGUCCUAUUGCUGGAGCAGGAUACCUUUCAAAUGUUGAAUUGACAACUGAUUCUCCAGUUUUGAAGACCAGAUCACUAACUGAAGUUUAUGAGCAAUGUAAAUUUUCUCUCGUCGAACCAUCUUUCUUUGAAGAAGCAGUGGGUCAUAAAGCUUGGAUUUCUACAAUGGAGGAGGAGCUUUCCAUGAUUAAUAAAAAUGAUACUUGGGAGCUGGUUGAUAGGCCCGACCAAAAAAACAUCACUAGUGUCAAAUGGGUCAAUAGAACGAAGUUUAAUCUAGAUGGCUCCAUAUUCAAACAUAAAGCCAAACUCGUAGUUAAAGGUUAUUCCUAACAGCCUGGAGUGGACUUUGGAGAUAUGUUUGCUCCUGUUGCGAGGCAUGAAAUAGUAAGAUUUCUAGUGGCUCUUGCAGCACAAUACCAGUGGAAAAUUUACCAUUUAGAUGUCAAAUCUUCAUUUCUAAAUGAAUUUCUUAAAGAAGAUAUUUAUGUUGAGCAACCUGAAGGUUUUAUAGUUGUAGGUGAAGAAGACAAGGUGUAUAAGCUUAAAAAGGCUCUCUAUGUCCUUAAACAAGCUCCGAGAGCUUGGUAUAGUAGGCUAGGUACUCAUUUGCUGUCUGAAGGCUUCAACCGAAGCCUAAAUAAGCUUACUUUAUACUUCAAAAGGCAAGCUGAUAGGAAGUUAAUUGUGAUAUCUGUUUAUGUUGAUGAUUUGAUGAUCACAGGUAAAGAUUCUCUUAUAGUUCAAGAAGUAAAAAAUGCGAUGCUAAAAGUUUUUGAAAUGUCUGAUCUAGGGGAGAUGAAGUUCUUCUUGGAAAUAGAAAUUUCUCAAUCUUCUGAAGGAAUUUUUUUGUCCCAAAAGAGGUAUACCCUGAAUCGCUUAAGAAGGUUCAAGCUUGAUAAGUGUAAACCUGUUGCAACUCCACUUGUUGUGAAUGAAAAGUUAAUGAAGGAUGAUGGAGAAGAGCGGGUAGAUUCAAAACUUUAUAGGAGACUUAUUGGAAGCUUGUUGUAUCUGACUGCUACCAGGCCAGAUGUGAUGUUUGCAACUAGUCUACUAUCCUGAUAUAUGCAAUGUCCCAGUACCAAGCAUCUUGGAGCUGCUAAAAGGGUGUUGAGGUAUAUUAAAGGGACAACUAAUUAUGGCAUUUGGUACAGAAGUGUGGAGAAUAGAGUUCUUAUCGGCUAUUCAGAUAGUGAUUGGGGUGGAUGUUUGGACGAUUAUAAAAGCACAUCUAGUUAUUUUUUUUCAUUUGGUUCAGACAUUUUUUCUUGGAGCAUAAAGAAGCAGGAUAUCAUAGCUUAAUCUUUAGAUGAAGUUGAGUAUAUAGAUGCUGUAUCUGCUACAAAUCAAGGAAUUUGGUUAAGAAAAAUCUUGUUUGAAUUGGAUCUUUUGCUAGAAGAACCAAUAGUUAUCUAUGUGGACAAUAAAUCAGCCAUUGCUAUGGCUGAAAAUCCAGUGCAACAUAGAAGGACGAAGCAUAUCAACAUCAGAUUUCAUGCUUUGCAAGAUGCCAAGAAGAAUGGAGAAGUUAAGCUAGUGCAUUACAGAAGUGAAGAACAACAAGCUGAUAUUCUAACCAAGGCUCUUCCCACAAACAAGUUUGAGUUUCAAAGGUCGUUGUAGGGAGUUUCAAUGAUAAAUCUGAAGGAGGAGUGUUAGGAAAUUAAGAUUUAUCUAGAAACUCCUAGUUAGAAGAUAUUUUUUGUAGUAGAAACUCCUAGAUAUUAGAUAUUUUUUGGAAUAGGUUCUUCUAGAAUAUGCUGGUGUAGUAUCGUGAAUAAAUAUCUUGUAGAAUUAUCUAGAUAUUCUAGAGUAGUAGAAGAUAAGGAUCACUAGAUUUUUUUUUAUAGAUGUAUCUAGAAAGAUAUCUAGAAUCAUCCAUACACUAUUAUAAAUAGGAGGCACAUUGUGCAUUUGUAACCAUCCAGAAAAAUUGAAAACAGUCAAUAAAAGUUUCAACUUCUCCUUUGUUUCACUGCAGUCUUUUUUGUAGCAAUUUACAGCUGCAUCAUUUCACUAUUUCAACUUGUUUUUUCAAUCCUUCUUUCCCCUCUUUUGAUAGACUAAAUGCACAAUCAUAUAAUAAUAUGGUGGCAAAUGCAAAUAAUGAUAGGCAAUAAACCUAAAGCAAUUCAACAACUACAACAAGGCCCUACUAAUAAUGACCUUCAACAGAAUAAAGCACAUGCACAUUGAUAGUUCAGAAAAAUAUCUAAAUUGAUUGAAAUUUACUUAUUAUAGAGAUGUAAGACUACUUGGAUCCAGUUGGGGAUGAUAAUUCAUGAUUUUUCAAUUCAGUAAUAAAACAUAGAAAGUUAAAGUAGUUUAUAGUGCAGGUGAAAGAUGAUCGUGAUAGUUGGAACUUUAGUCCAUCUACUAUAGCUAAUUUGUUUGUGAACUAAUAUAAGACCUGGCUUGAGAGUAAAACUGAAGAUAGAAUAUUUGUUAUUGAUCAAUUUUUGAAGAAUAAACCAGUAUUAUCAGAUGACCAGUGAAAAACACUAAUUAAACCUUUCACUACCCAGGAAGUUAAGAAGCAACAUUUCAAAUAGGGAGCAAUAAAAGCCCUGGACUGAAUGGAUAUGAGAGUGAUUAUUAUAAAGUUGCAUAAAAUAUUGUAGGGGAUGAAGUGACUCGGGCAGUACUAGAGUUUUUUCAAAAUGGUUAGAUCUUGAAGCAAAUAAACUCUACUAACAUAACACUUAUUCCUAAGGUAGAUGCCUAUGAGUAUGCUAGUCAGCUUAGACCAAUUGCAUGUUGCAAUGUGGUGUAAAAAUGUAUAUCCAAGCUUAUUUGUAUUACACUUAAAAGUGAUGUAAAUAAUCUGGUUCCAGAAAGUCAAUCUAUUUUUGUGCAAGGGAGGACUAUGAUGCAUAAUAUUUUGAUAUGUCAUAACCUACUAAGAAACUAAUAAUAGAAAGGUGUCUCCAAUGUGUCUACUUAAGAUUGAUCAAGAAAGCCUAUGACAUGGUUAGUCGGGAGUUUCUGGAGAAGGCUAUGGUAGGUUAUGUGUUCUUGGUAAGUUCAUUAUUGGAUGUUAAACUAUGUUGCUACCACUAUGUUUAUUGUAAAGGUGAAUGGAACAGGAUAUGGAUAUUUUACUUGGAAGAGAGGGCUUAGGUAGGGCGAUCCUGCUCCACCUUAACUCCUUAAACUAGUUAUGGAAUUUUUGUCAAGAAUUUUGAAAACAAUAAGUGUGUUACCUGGCUAAACUACACCCAAUGUGAAAGCCUCUCAAUUUAACUCAUCUUAUCAUUACUGAUGACCUGAUGGUCUUUUGCAAAGGAAAUACAAACUCAGUAAAUAGAAUAAUGGAAGCACUUCAAUACUACAGUAAGGUCACAGGGCUUAUUGCUAACAUGGACAAAUCUAGUAUGAUUGUGGCAGAAAUAGAUGAUAAUGUUAAGUAGCAGCUCUUGAUAAUUAUAUGAUUCACUCAUGGAAACUUUUUAUCAAAUAUCUAGGGCCACAUAUGUCACCAAAGAUAUGGAAUAAACUGGAUUGUCACUGGAAGACUGCUAAUAGAGAAGAUCACACAUAGAGUCAAAGUUAAAUGCUCUAAAUAAAUAUCCUAUGUAGGUAGAGUGCAAGUUAUCAAUGAAAUUUUAUUCUCUAUUCAUAGUUUUUAGGGUACUGUAUUUAUUUUGCCUUAGAGUAUAUUGAAGAAGGUGUAUAGGAUCUGUAGAACCUAUCAUUGGGGAAGUGAUGAUGAUAAGAAGAAGUUUCCUUUAGUAUUUUUCUAGAUCAUGAUUUGUAUUUUCACUCAUUUUUGCUGUUUAGAGCUUUCCUAUAGCUACCCCAGUCAUUUAUGACUUGCUAGAUCUGUCAGUUCGAUUACUGGACAGUUCAUCUGAUUUUUUGAGUCAAUUCUCUAUUUUCAAGUCUUCGUUGGUUCAAAUUGGCAACUAGGUGAAAACCUUAGUCAAACAACCUCAUAUGCUAAUUGUGACUAUUCCAACAACUCUGAAAUAUCAAUUUUAGGCUAGGUGGACCCUUGGUUUGGGUUUCAAGGAUUUUGGACUCAUUUUAGGCUAUUGGUUGGAAGUUAAGAAAAUGACACGUGGGUGUGGGACCCAAUUUUCAUUUAAAAAACCUUGGAUGAAAAUUUUUGACUAUGUCAUUAAUCUAGAACAUCAAAUUUGAUAGGUUAGCAUAGUUCAUUUGCAUUACAGGAUUUCGAAUGAAUCCUGAGGGGUUGGUGAAGUCUCGGAAUAAUUUUGAGUUUCCAGUUGGUGUACCCGCUUAAGCGCCCUUUUGGUCUGCUUAAGUGAUGGCGGCGCUAAAGUGAUUGGCUCAUCGCUUAAGCGACUGAGAUGGCCGAGUGGAUUGCUGCUUAAGCAGACCUCUCAUCACUUAAGCUAUGGAUGCUUAAGUGGUAUGUGUGUAGGCAGCCAUUGUCGCCAAAGCGACACUAGGUCGCUUAAGCGGAAACUCGGCCUAGUGUUUACUUAAUCAACACCUGAACAUAUGGGAAUACUAUAAAUACAUCACUAGACCAAUUUCUCAAUUUUCACCCAUUUCUAAGAGAGUAGAACCCUAAAAAGUGUGGAAACUUUGGAGAAUGAUUUGUGGGUUAUUUUGGAGCAUUUGUGGAAUUAAAUUACGUGUUUUUUCUCUGAAUCCUUGGUAAGCUUCCAUCAAUUUCAUGAAUUAAUCCUUCAUCUAUUUCCAAAAUACCUAAAAUACUGGUAGGUUGAUUGUAGCACCAUUUGAGAUUGAAAUUUAUUCAUUCGUGAGGGUAAAUAUUCUUUGAGCAUAGACAAACGCAUUGAUGGUUUUGAAUGUAAUUUUGCAAGCGGGCCCCAUAUGAGAUCUUUACGCAAUUUUGGAUCCAAUGCACAAAAAUAUAAUAUGGGUAUCGUUGUUCUCAUUUUGAUGAGUAAAUUAUGAUUUUGAUAGCGUGGCAAUUUGCAUAAGCUUUUCAGAAGGAAAAUUCAUCUAUUUAGCAAAUUUCACCGGGCAUUCUGCGAUAUUGAGAUGGCUAGGUUUACCUUCUUUAUAUAUUAAGAUUAAUAUUAUAUAUUUGCAAUAAAGUGUUAGAUGUGCGUUGAGAAUUAGGUCUUGAAGUAUAAUUAGUAUAAUUUAGGUCGUUUAGCCUAUUGAGUAACCACAAUUUAGGUCUAAUUGACUUAGUUGCUCAUGUUCAAGUUGAAUUUUCUAUCUUAGGGAUAAUUAUGACCCAUUUAAUAUUUUGAAGUGAAUUUAGAUACCUUAACCUUGUCUAGGAUAGAAUUUACCUUACAAUGGAUUUUGGAGAUUAGAAGUGGGCCUCUUCAGCCCACCUUAGGCCAAGAUUAUUUUUAGCUCCUUGUAACUUUAUAGGUGAAUUACAUCCUAUGAAUUGUGUACUUGGUAUCUUAAAAAUCAUGGUUACAUGGUUAUUAUGCUAAAUGGGUGAUCGAAAGUUGAUACGAGUUCCAGUUCAAGUCCAGUCUUUGAAUAUAUGAGUUCUGAUUCAAGUCCUGCAAAUAAUAAUGAUGUUGAUGAUUGAGUUCUAGUUCGACUCCGACAUUGAGAGAUAUUUAUGGUAUGUUACGACACAGAUAGAAUCAUGAUUAUGGCUCGGUAUUUGGUAAUUUUAUGGAAUUUUAGUUAUAUACAUUCUUGAUUACACCUUCCAGGUUUAUGGGGGCCCACGAUGGAUUAUUUACUUUUUUGCACUUAUUGAAUUAUGGGGCCAAUCCAUUAGUUAUACUUGUGUGAUAUUUACAUUAUUAAUUUGGAUUUAUCUUUUUAUUUAUGUACAACAUUUGGAGUUAUUUUAGGUUUGCCCAUUUACCCUAACUUAGGUUUAUAUAUCUUGUAUAUUUAUUGUUCUUAUAGUAUAAUUUAGCUCAGUUGGCCGAUGAUGCCUAUUGAGUACCUGUGGCUUUGGCACUCAUACUACACUCCUGUACCUUUUUUAUGCAGAUUUGAGUACUAGUGAUCGACGUUGAUGAUACCAUCGUAUUGGUUUGAGUUAGGAGAUAAGGUGACCUCUUAGAGUAAAAAAUUUCCUCUUUCCUUCUAUUAUCUAUACUUAGUCUUUCAUUAUUCGAGACUGAGUUGUAUUAGACUAUUACAGUACUUAUGUUUCUUUUUGCUAGUAGAUCUUGUACCGACACUACUAGGUCGUGGGAUAUUAUUUCUAUCUUAUCUAUAUUUUAGACUAUUAUUAUUAUUAUUAUGUGAAUUACUGUUUUAAGUCUUUACUUGUAAAUUUUUGGCUUUUAUGCCUUUUUCCACCAAAUUAGCCCAUUAUUUCUAUCUUUAGGCUACGAUUUGACUUACCUACUGGUAGGGUAAAGUAGGUUCGUCAUAACCUUUAAAUUGAUCAUGACAAUCUUGGUAUAAUAUUUUUGUCCCUAAGAAACUUGGAGGAUUAAAUGUUAAAAGCAGUGCAAAUAGGAAUGUUGCAUCUGUGGUGUGGCAAUUGAGUAUAAGGAAUCUUUAUGGGUUAAAUAGGUUCAUGGUAUUUACAUGAAGGAUGAAAGGAACAUAUGGGCUCAUAAACCUUCAAUAGACAUUAACUAGUAUUGGAGGAAGAUAAACUCAUUGAAAGAGAUAAUGCGAGAAUGGUAUAAUCGGGAAAGAUAUAUACUUACAAAGAGAUAUUUUGCCAUUACUGGUCGUUAUAACAGACUGCAUGAGGUUGAUCUAAUUUGGAGUGGACUUAUCUCAACCAAAACAUAUAUUUAUCAUUUGGUUGAUUUAUAAGGAAGGCUGCUGAUAAAGGAAAGAAUGGUAAAACUGAAGGUCCAGGUAGAUAACAAUAACUGGUGGUUAUGUGUUGGUAAAUAUGUAGAGACAAGUUUCAAUCUAUUUGGGGACUAUGAUGGAUUAAGUCAUUGAUGCAAGAAGUGUAUGAUCUAGAAGAUUAUGAAAUAAGAAACUAAGCAAUUUAGAAAAGAAGUUGUAGCUGCAAUUUGGGAUGUAAUUGUAUAUCACCCUGGAAAUCAAGGAACUGAAAGAUUUUUAAAAAAGUAACUGUACUUUCUAAGGAGGUUACCACAUGGAUUAGGAAAGAACUGAUAGAUAGAUUGCAAUUACAUAUGAAGUCAAAAGGCCAGUAGAUGUAGGGGACUAGUCUAACAAAUACUUGUGUAAAUAGGUUUAAUUUUAUUGUUCUUUUGACUGAGGUUUCUUCUCUAUGAUAAAGAGUAGGAGGUUCUCUUUAUGUUGUAAUGCUUUUUUGGAGUAAUGAUAAUUUUUAAAUUUCUAUGAAAAAUUUAAAAUUAAAUAACUUUUUAUUAAAAAAAGUGAUAUUAUUUUUAAGAAAGUUUUCAAAAGUAUGUUUCAUAAGCAGAUUAUUAAACUACAUAUUUCGCUCAAAUUAGAUAAGUGACAUGUGGAGAAUUUCCUUUUUAAAAAAGAGAUACUUAGUUAUAAAGUUUGUGAUUAACUUUAUUUCAUAUUUGACAAGAUGUGUUAAUCAAUUUUGAUACUAGCUUAUGCCAUAAUUUAUACUAAAAUAGUAAAAUUAUUAUUCCACAUGAAGGUUGAAAGAAAAUAAUCCUAUGAAAUAUUUCACCGCACGAAAUAUACCUACUUAUCUAAGUCAAUGUACCAAUCGACUCUUAAAAGAUUGGUCUAGAAGAGGAAAGAAACAGAUAAGUUAUUGAAACUUUGUAAAAAAGAGGUAAUUUUCAAAUAACAAACUAUGCCCUCAAAUAAUAGACUGAUAGCAACAAUUUCAUAAUUACCUCUGAUAGUAAAUUGUACAUAUAUUUGAUGUGUUAUUUUUGAAUGUAAAUACAUAUGCAAAUAGUUAAAAAGGAGAGAUUCAAUUAUGUAGGAGAAUAUCUUAUACUAUUGUUAAAAUUAUGAAUGAAAUUUAGUAGAAUAUUAUUUUAUAAAAUAUAAUGUUGUAAAAAAGGUUAUUAAAAUCAGAGAUAAAUGUUGAUGAUAUUCUUUUUUGCUCUCUUCUCAAUCUCCCGCCUGUCUCUCUCUCUAUUCUAUAUCUUUCUCAUUUAACCUUUAUUUUUAAUUUUUGAUUUUUGAAUUUUGUAUUUCUAUCUCUUUCUCAUUUUUGUCCUUUUUCUACUUUUUGAUCUUUCAUUUGUAUUUGUAAAUAGACCAAUAUAUGUAUUAUUUAUAUUUGCUUGAAUCUAUCAUAUACAAAGUAUGCAAUGUAUUAUUUAUUUUAUAUGUAACAUUUAUCAUUUGUAAUUGUAUAUAAAGAUUUGUAUCAAAUGAUACAUUGCGUAUUUGUAUGUUUCAAUUUAUAUCUAUAAAAUAUAAUUCAUAACAAUGAAUACAAACAAAAGUAUUCAUAGAAAGAUAAUCAACAGUUCUUUCUCAAUUAUUUUAAAAUAUAAAUGGUGCAGUCAACUAUAAACACAAAUAAAUGAAAUAAAUAAAAUUGCAAAGACAAUAAGUAGUCAACGACAAAUACAAAAACUGGUUCUUCAAAAUACAAGUGCAUCAAUGGAAAUAGAAUACAAAUAUAAAAAAAUAAAACUACAAAAACAAAUACAAUAUAUAAUCAACUGCAAAUACAAAAUAGUUCUUUAAAAUACAAGUGCAUCAACAAAAUAUAAUUGUAUAAAAAUAUAUCAUUUAUAUUCAAAUGGUUUUUGUUGUAUCAACAAAUAUAGUUGUAUUAACGAAUGCAAAAAUAUAAAUAAUGAUACGAGUGCAAAUUCAAAUAUAAACUGGUGAUAAUACAAAGAACCAUAAAAAAUACAAGUAUAAAACAUAAGUUACCCCAACCACUAUCGGAACCACCACAAAAUUAUUGAAACUGUAACGACACAAAAUAUUGUAACGUAUGAAAACACCUCAAAAAUAUUUUAUGAUAAUUAAAAUGAUCUAAAUGGACCUGAAAAAAAUUAUUUCAUGGGAAAAAUAUGAGGUCCAAAGUGAGCGGACAAAAAAGGGCCCAAAAAGGGAACUAGACUGGUUUGCGGCCUACCACUGCUGUGAAAUUCGACAGUAACUAGCUAGGGAUAUUUUAAAAGUCUUUUAUUAUUUUAACCCUCCCUAGUCUCUCUUUUCCCUAAAAAAACAUCCAAAUAAACCUCACUUUCAUUUUUAUGAGAUUCCAAAGGCCAAGCUUUAUAAGGGCGAUUUUUAGGCACACCUAGCAAAUCCCUCCAUGGAAAGAUGCUUAGCACUCGAGGGACAACUUGGUCCUCUUACAAGCAUCAUGUUUCAUCGACGAGGUAGCUUAUGGUUUAUUUAUCAUAGCAAUUAAACUUGGGUUAGAUUCAUUUUACAUGGAUAGUAAGGUCGGGAGUUCUCAUACAUUAGGUCUUAGGACACAAUAUUUGAAUGGACAAGAAUAAUAAAUACCUAGUUAGUCUUUAAUAAUACGGUAAAUAAUGGUUGUACCCUAUUGAUGUGACAUAACGACAUUGAAUGAGCCAAACUCCAUGAGAAUAUUAAGUAGUUGGAUAUGUAUACUUCAAAAUUUUGGAACAGGUUUUAUAAGGAGUUUGGCACCAAGCUCACAUUUAGCAGAGUUUUUGAUGGACAGUUGGAGAGGACAAUUCAGGUGGUAGAGGACAUGUUGAGAUCUUGUGUCAUUGACUUUGGUGGUUAUUAGGACCAGUUUAUACUAUUGUGUGAGAUUUUAUACCAAAAUAACUACCAUUACAGUACGACAUGAUACUAUUCGAGGCACUCUAUGGAAAGAAGUAUAGGUCACCUACUGGGUAGUUUGAGACUAAUGAUAUUAAUCCUUUAGGCUCUGACUUGGUAAGGGAGGCUCAAGAAAAGAAAAGGUAUAUUCAUACCAUGUUAUUGGCUACUCAAAGUAGGCAAAAGGAGUGUGUGAACCAUAAGGAAAAGGGCAUGAACUUGAAGUUUGGUGAACAAGUGUUGCUUAAGGUGUCUUAUGUGAAGCAAGUCAUGAGGUUAAGUAAGAAGGGAAAGCUCAACCCUCGAUAUAUUUACCCCUUUAAUAUUUUUGAGGAUGUGGGUCUGGUUGCAUACAAGGUAUUACCACUGGGGCUGUUAGAAGCUUAUCUAGUGUUCUAUAUUUUUAUAAUCAAAAGAUACCAAGGAGAAUGACUUAUUUUAUUAAAUGGGACUCGAUUAUAAUUGAUAAAGAUUUAGCCUAUAAAGAAGAACCGAUGACGAUUCUAGAUAAGGAUGUAUCGAAGUUAAGGACGAAUAAAAUUUAUUCAAUUAAGGUUCCAUGGAAGCAUAUUCUGGUUGAGGAGGCCACCUAGAAAACUAAGAAGGACAUGUGGGAUAAGUACCCUUAAUUGUUUGAGGAUGCAAGUACUUUUCCUUAUCUACUUCUUUUGGAUUAUUUUCUUGUUUGAUCAUUAGAGGAUGAAUAAUGGGUAAAUUGGUAUCUGUUGUAACAACCUUGUCCAUUGUUACGUAUAAGUCUUUUGUUUAAAAUUUCAUGUUAAAAUUCUUUUCGAAUUUAAAGUUAUAAAUUUUAGGUCAGGCUAGUUUCGGAUGAAAUCAGAGUGAUGUGCCAUCUAGGAAUAUCUAGGAAUAAUUUGGGUAAGUAUGGUGGUGUUUAAUUUGAUCACUAGUUAGCAAAGAUAAUAGGGAGCCAUAGAACUUUACGAAAUCAGAUUUGGAUAAGUGAAACUCCCAAAAUUGGUCUUAGAAUAAAGGGUAUUGUUUGGGAUGUAUUGGAUUUAAGGUGUGUUAUGACAAAAGGAAAUUUUUGGAGGAAACUAGACAUUCAGUCCCAUCGGAGGUGCUAUAGCGACGUGCAAGUACGCUAUAGCGACAUGCUCAAAAAUAAAAAAAUUCUCACUAUAGCGACCGUCAACAUAGUCAAAGGGUCUAUAUAGUGACGAUGUCACUAUAGCGGCAUAAAUCACUAUUUUAUUUCAACCCCCCCUCUAAAUAGUUUAGUUUUCCAAGAAAUCUUUGGGGCUUCAAUAGUGGCAGUUUAGGGUUAAAACCAUUAAUUUUUUGUCAUAUUUCAUCGUUAAAGUAAGGAAUUCAUCACUGUUAGCUAGUAAAUCAAUAAUCCAGCCUUAGAAUUGUUAGUUUCCGUAGCUUGGAGAGGGUUAAGGUCUGAAUUUUCUUGAUUUUCUGGUGCAAGAGGAUAAAUUGAGUAUAAACUUAAUUUUUUUGCUUAAUUAUUGUUAGUUUACCCUUGUAUGUCAUUAAUUCACUAAAUAACCUAUGAGAUUGGUAGUUUAAGGUGAAUUAAGAUAAAAACACCCUAUAACAAGGAGAAAAUUAUCAUAAACUUAGCCUUAGGAGUUGGGUCUGAGUUAUAAUUUCCAACAUGGUUGGUCAUUUCAUUAAUUAUGUGUUUACAUGCAUUUUCUAGACUGAGACCAAGCGAAAAAUAUAUGGAAGGGCAAGGCUCCGGCUAAGUAGAGUUGUGCAAGCUUGAUUUGAGGUAGGUAAUGAUAUUGUAGUUUCAUCCAAUAUGUACUAUAUGUUUAUGUUAUCUACUUCUUAGUAUGGCUUGCUAGUGCAUGUCGUUUGGUGUGGUCAAUUCAAUGGUUUUACCUUGUUGUAUGAUUUUGACCUAUCUAUUUUAAAUAAGAAUGCUUCGGUAUUUAAACAUUCUCUCAGCUUAAUUAUGGAACAAAUUUUGUAGAUAUUUGUGUCUGGGCUUUGGUAUAUGGAUGAAAUUUAUCCUUUGCAGAUCAUGGCUAGAGGGUGGUUAUGAUACCUAUAGCGUGUAUGUAUGAGGUUUGGGUGAAUUUGAUAGUUUCACGAGCGAAUCAGGAAAUACAUUUAUAUAUUUGAUUAUUGCUUAACUUAUCUUGACUUAUUUACUUGGUGGUAAAUGGCUUGACUUUUUCAUAUAAUCAAUCCUAAACUGCUUAAUUGAUACUUGUUAUGCUAGGUGUAGGUUAGAAUGCGCAUGGAUUAAGUAGUUGUACUAUGUAUUGGUUAUAUGUUCAUAUUCUCAUUUUGGGUUGGACGAAUGACCCUACCAGUACACUAUUAUUCUUAUGUGCUGAACUACACUUGCUUUUACUUUUAUUGAGUGUAGCACAUAUUCUAGCGGCUCCUACAAGACCUCAACUGUGAUUCUAGCGAGUGAUUUAGAUUUUAGGGGUGAACAACUUAUUUAGCUACCUUGGAAUCUUUCCUUUAUAUCAUUGUCCUUUGUUUUGGACACUAUGCACUUUCUUUUGAUUUUGAAAUUGUAUCCCAUUCUUAAUAAUUUUAGUAUGUUUUAGUAUAUCGACUUUCAAAUUCUAAGGUUUUUCCUUUUAAUAAUUAUUUCUGCAUUUGUCCUUUGUUUUGGACACUAUGCACUUUCUUUUGAUUUUAGAAUUGUAUCCCAUUCUUUAUAUUUUUAGUAUGUUUUAGUACAUCGACUUUUGAAUUCUAAGUUUUUUUCCUUUUAGUAAUUAUUUUUGCAUUGCUUUAAGUUGUUAGAUUGGUGGAUUUUAAACUAUUAUGGGAUAAUUUCUUCUAUAUUCUCUAAGUGUUGUUAAAUGCUUUUAGGGUUAUUGGUUCUCCCAUCGAAGAAUAGAGUGGGUGCCACUCACGUCCAAUCGGGUCAUGACAUUAGAAUUCUAAGCCUUGAUGAUGGUAAAUCCCGUAGUGCAUUGUAAUAAUGAAUUAUUGAGAAGAUCUGGUCUAGUGUGGGUUAGGAGUUAUGAAAACUAGGAUGAUGAGUUAGUGAAAGGUAAAAAGGUCAAAGUUAGAGUUGGUGGUUAAAGGAUAAAGAUAUACAAAAAUGUUAAAUAGCAGGUAGGUCACAAAAAUAUGAGAAGGGUGGUGUUCAUGAAUUCAUAACUUAGGAUUUCGAAAAUGAAAUUGUACUUGAUGCUAUAAUUUCUCCCUAUUUGUUAUUAAUGUUAUUUGUUUUUAAUCUUCCUCAUCUAAUGAUGUCUACUAGUACGUGUGGUUGUACUAAUAUUAUACUUACUAUGUCUCCAAUCGAGGAUAUAACCAUGGUGUAGGUCAUUUGGGGUUUUAUAGUAGCGAUAAUGAUCACUCAGUAGCAACUCCUGCCCUUUCUAUUUUGUAUAGAUGUUGUUCAUAGAUUCUUCUAUUUCUUGUGUUGUGCUCUUGUCCGAUUUAGGCUAGAUUUUGGGGAUUCACUAUUAGUUAUAUUCUAUAUUACUUUUACAUAUCGAAUGUAUUAAAAUAGAAUUAUAUAUGUAUGAGAUAAUAGGAUUACAUUAUUAUAGAUGAAUUAUUUAGCUUCUGCUUAAAAUGAAUGGUUGGGUAAUGAGGAUUCUCCUAUCUGGGGUAGGUGUUCGGUAGGUGCCUAUACGAUUGAUAGGUUGAGUCAUGCCAAGAUGUUAUUUGAGCCCAAAUUACCGGUCUCCCAAUACAAGAGCAAAUAACAAGUAAAGUCCGGUGAAUGGGUGUGUUAAAACCCACGUCAAAUCUACAAGAGGCUACAAGGCAUUUAGGAAACCGUCUUACUUUCUUCUCUUAUAACAUAGUAUUCCAGUGUUUUUCCCGGAGUUUAGUCCAAUUAGUAUCUAGCAAAUUCUAGUUGGCAUCAUAACCACUGCAAUCGGGACUAGUUAGUCCUAAUUGGUAUCUUGCUAAUGUUUGAGGGGUUGGGAUAAGGCAUCCUAACCAGUAGAAGUUAGUAAGAAGCAUACGUAUUGAGUUGUUAUGUUAUGAUAUUUUCUUGAUAUUGUGUUAAAGUACUUGUGCAUUAAAUUUUUUAUUGCCAUAUGCUAGAAUCUAUGUGUAUUAUUUAUACAAAGGUUUAUUGGUUAUUAAUACAAUUAACUGGUGGUUAGGUUGUCAUUUUUCUAAUAUACAAAAGUUGAUUACACAUGCUAAUUUGUAUGAUGCGUGGAUAUGGGACUUGGGGAUCAUGAGGAUCGGUGUGAUCUCAAGGUGUAUCUUUAUUUUUGUGACUUAAGGCAAACCUCAUCUCUCCAUGACUUGGAGUAUUCCUUAAUUUCUAUCUAAACCCUGACAAACUAACCAUGUGUCUUUCUUUUUUGUGAGAAAUAUUGAGUGACAAGUGGUGCUUGGGAGAAAAAAUAGGUAUGCACGUGUUAGAUUUAAUCAAAUUGAGGAAUAAGUUGCGCUUUGGAUAGUUUAGGUCACCACCUAAUCACUCUGGACCUUAAAACUAAGGGGCAUGCGAGUAGAAAUUAAAAUAGUGUCCAGGGGAUAGCAUAGUAUGGGAAAAAACUUGGAUAAAGCUAGCAAAGAGGGAAAAAGUGGAACCGUUGGAGGUUACCACUAUAGUGGUAAGAUUAAUCGCUAAUGUAGCGGCUCUAGGCAGUAGACUUCCAACCCUUUCAAAACACCCCCAAACUUUGGCCCUUGCAAAUUUCUUGAGUUUUGAACUCUUUUUACAUCAUACAACUCACACCACUAGUCGUAUAGUGUGGUGACAGGUAUAGGGACCCUAGUUGUAUGUUGGUUAGUUUAUUAUUGGCCAAAUUCUGUCCUGGCUAUGAGAGACUCCAUACGAGUCAUAUGGUCAUGUGAUGAGAGAGUUAGGGUCCAAUCGUAUGUUGUCCAAUGUCUAGCCCUUGAUGUUCUGCCUUGAAUAUGACUAGAUUUUACUAGUCGUAUGGUCUAGUGAUGAGUUGCACAAGGGAGUUGUAAGUUGGAUGGAAUAUGGUGUCCAACCUUCUGUUCUGGUGACGAUUUAAUAAUACAGUCGUAUGUAGUGGUGACGAGUUGGAGGGUCAACUCGUACCCACCUGUGGGUUUCUAUAGCUUUUAAGCUGAGGUUAUUUUGGAUAUUUUCCACCCCAAGCCCUUAAGAUCCCAUGUCUUAUAACACAAAUUGGGCAUUCAUUAUACACUUAGCAAGACUAAAACUCUCUCUAAAACUUCUCAAGAAAGAUUGGGCUAGGGUUUUUUCAAGGUGGUCAUCUAGAGGCUUAAAGAUCAAAAUCUCUCUGUUAAUCUUCGCAACUCAGGCAUGUGCCUCUUCCUUCAUUGUUGGUUCGCUAAAAGCAUAUGUUUAAAGCUUUGUUCAUGAAUCAUUAAUGGUGAUUUUGAAAACCAAGGUUGAGGGUUAGGUUGCAUAUUGUUGAACAUUGACUUCUCAUGAUUUUAAUAGUGUUUAUGUAUGUUUUAAUAAUGGUUUUGCACAUGUGAGUACUUGGGAAUUGUGAUUUGAACUAAGGGGGUCAUGGUUAACCCUAACUUGAUGGGUUUUGGCUUGAAUAAUGGUUUUGAUAAUAGUAUGCCCUCAACCUGUUUGUGAAAUUUCCAAUGAGAAUGAUCUUGUCACAUAUUGAAUUGUGUUUGAACUAAGGCAUUGACCUAAUAAUGUAAAUGGUUUUAUGAAAUCCUUGUUGGACAUAAAUUAUUUUCAAUUACUAAAAGGGUUCGAGACCCUAAAGGUUGAAUUGAAUGAUGUCUUUGUUUAGACAAUGGGUUCGAGUCCCAAGUUGAUUAAUAAUGGCUAUGGCAUGUUGUACGCUUGCAAGUGGGGUUGAUAUAAUGAUACCAAUAGGAUGCCUUUGGUAAGUAAUCAAAUUAAUGGUUGUGUGUGUACUGAAUGUUUUAAUUAGCUGGGCUGUGAAAUUGAAGUCCGAAGGACUAACACUAAAAACCAUGCUAGCCGCUGCAGGUGUCUAUAUGACCAGGAGGUAUGAGUCCUCUGAAUGAAUAUAUGAAUGGGAGGUUUGAGUCCCCCAUAGUGUAUAUAUUGGUUCUUAAGUCACCUUGACUAUGUUGGGAGGUUCGAGUCCCUUAUAAAGGUAUAUAUGGUUAUGGAUAUUCUCCGGUUCUUGCGGAUACAUGCACUAGGGCCCUUCCAGCUAGGGGAGAGCUGGUUCCAUAUAGCCCGUAGGUGCCUUGUUUGAUGACAGUUAUGUUAUACAACCCAGGUUAAUAUUUUCCAAAGUUUAUGCUAAGCCUUGUUCCCUAUCUCGGUAUUAUAUAUAUAGGUAUACAUGUGAAUGUAUAUGAUGAGUUGAAUUGGUUUGAAUGAUGGAAUUAUUUUAUUCCUCUAUCCUUGAGUUACAUGCUAGUUCUCCAACAGCUAAUCGUCUCCGAACGCUGUAUCCCAUGCGAUGCAGGCGCCGAACUUCUUUUACUUUUCUGUGUAAUGAUUGGGUGUUCGAGUUGGUUUGUGAGUUGACAUUGAAGUGGUAAGCUUCCAUACUUCGGAAGGCUUCAUUUCAUGGUCUUUAUUACUUGUGUCCUAGACCUUAUUUAGGCUUUGUUUUUGGCUAUUGUUGGGGACAUGUCUCAAGAUUUUAUUGAUUUUGGUUUUGUAGAGGCUUUGUUGGAUUACUGUGGACUUGGGCGUGUUGUUUUGGUAGAUUGGAUCGGUGGCGGAUGGUAGUCUGAUUACCAGUGAUUAGUUUAGACAUUUCAUGAAUCAUAUUAGUCUUAGCUUACACUAUCUUGUUAUAUGUUCGAAAUUCAUCUGACUCUUGAGGUUAUUGUGUUGAAUAGGUUAGGUGAAGGGGUGAUCUCCGAUCCACGUGGGACUCAGGAUACCCAUCUUGACCAGGCCUUGGUUUGGGUCAUGACACCUUUCCCUUAUUUUUGUAAUUUUACAAUCAUUAUUAAUGAUAGUUAAAGAUAAAAAUUAACUUUGACAUGCAUUAGAUGCUAAAACCAUUAUUAUUAAGGGUAAGGGAACGGUAAUUGUCUCUAAAUAUAGGAAAAAGAAAAUAAAAGGGUAAUUAUUUGUUACAUGCCCCAAAAGGGGCAACCCAAAUCCAAAUCAGUAGUAUAAGAUAAAAAGAAGGGAGGGAUAUCAAGCUAGCGGCGUCAUCUCCAAGGCUCGAGGGAUCCAAACCCUCUUCCUCUAUUUUGCUAAGGAAGAUGAACUCCUCAAAUCCUUCCUGGUCAGAUUUGGGAGCUUCUUUGUGAGGUAGGCACACUUAAACAUUACCUGGACUACCUUUCACAUCCUCACUAGCAUACGAUCCGAGAGCGGCACUUCUUCUUCUCCUCAUCUAGCUCCCUUUGGAGCUUGGUGUAGGCUUGGGCCUAAUCCAUAGGGCAGUAGAGUUUGAGGAAGCCAAUCUCUAUGGAGGUAGCUGGUUCCUUUUUAAAUAUCCCAUAUAUCCUCAAGAUUAGCCUCUCAACCCCUAAAAUUUGUGGGAGGGAUGCGAGAAUCCUCAUCUCAUCCAGCCUAGAUACUCUCGCCUUCUUCUCCCACCUUUUUUCUUUCAUCUGUUCUUGCCUCUCCAUGGGUUGAAUUCUACAUCACAUUCCUCCAUAGUUUCACAGUCAUCCUUAGGCAUGCAGUCUUAUAUGUAAAGAUUUGUAAUCAAGGAAGCAGGAAGAUCCCUCGCCAACCUCUUUCGGCCGUAGAAAUACUGCCACUCGUCCAUAGUUUGUGCCCUCACAUUUAUCUCAAUCUCCACUAAAUAACACACCACCUCCAUAUCUUGGUGGAAGACCACAUUCGUCAUAUUUCUCGAAGGACGAAUCCUCUGGGACACCAGCUGCAGCCAUACCUUAGCCUCCACUGAAAAGUAAGCACUCUUUGUUUCCUUUAAGGCUCGACCACUUCACUUUGUUUGCCCGACCCUACGAUGUAAUGCCUUGGUUGCCUAUUUAAGGUCAGCCUUCUAUACUAUAGCUUCAAAGGAAGCAUUUCAUGGGUUUUGGACCCCCAGAGUUUCAUUUAUGGUGGCAACAUCGACCAGGACAUUCUUCUCUUGGAUGCAAAUAGUGGGAAGAGGUAUUGUCCACUCUACUAUAGGAAGAAUAACAUCAAACUCCUUGACAAAGGUGAAGUAAUGAUCAGGGAUGGACUCCAUUAGUAUCUCCCAUCUAAAGGUCUUUAACUGAUUGUAGAAGUUGGGGGCCUCAUCUUCCAAAUCUUUCUUUACGAAACCCCUCUCGCAGAAGAAACCCCUAUUAUGCUUACCCUCCGCAUAAAGAUCGCGACUGGAGGUAUCGAGAAACUUUCGAUAGCAUGGUCACUGGCCAUGAUUGUCCCACAAUACACCAUAAUUAAAAUUUUAGAAACUAUAUUGGGGCGUCACAAGGGGAGGGGGAAGGAAUUUGAGACUACAAGAAAUUAAAAACCUAGAGAGGCUACCGUGCUGCUAGGUAUAAUCACAUACGUUAAUUAACCACUGCAGUGUUUCCACUGCAUGUUGCAAUGGUCCAUCAUUCCCAACUCGCCAAUCUCUGCUCCCUUGGAAUUUCUUUAAUUUUUCUUUGUAUUUUUGAGGAUUAAGGAUAGAUCUAGUUUAGUAAAGUUUGUAUGAACCCUUUUACACUAACAUGGGAGUGUAUAACACUCAAAUUCGCCUCAAUUUACCCCAUUUAUUGGUAAAGAUGACCCUCCAUAUUCCACCUAUCUAGUGGUUGAAAUCCUUUAUGAACUACGUCAAUCUUACAUCCUAAACGUCGUAGUAGCAUUGAAGAUAUAAGAGAACCUAACUUGUUCAUCAUUUCAUUCAAGAACACCACCAAAUUCAAGUUUCACCCGAAAAACAAAUAAACAAUCCUCUAUUCUUACGAGGUUUCGACAAUCCUACAACGAGAAAUACGUGAAGUAAGUAGUAAAGGUGAAGAAAUUACCUUGAGUUUGUUGAACCAGCUGUUGUAGCGAUAACCUUCUUAGGUGUU